GUGGCGAACGGCUGCGUAACACGUGAGUAAUCUGCCUCGAAGCUGGGGAUAACAUUCCUAACGGAGUGCUAAUACCCGAUGUGCUUGCCGGCUGGCAUCUGCUGGUAAGUAAAGAUGGCGUGCUGAGCGCUAUCACUUCAAGAUGAGCUCGCGGCCUAUUAACUAGUUGGUGAGGUAAUGGCUCACCAGGGCGACGAUGGGUAGCCGGCCUGACAGGGUGUCCGGCCACAUUGGGACUGAUACACGGCCCAGACUCCUACAGGAGGCAUCAAUAGGGAAUCUUGCGCAAUGGACGAAAGUCUGACGCAACAACGCCGUGUGAGCGAAUAAGGCCUUCGGGUCGUAAAGCUCUGUCCCGUGGGAAGAACCUCGGGUGGAUUAUAAAUCCAUUCGACUGACGGUACCACCAGAGGAAGCUCCGGCUAACUCCGUGCCGACAGCCGCGGUAAUACGAUUGGAGCUAGCGUUGUUCGGAAUUACUGGGCGUAAAGGGCGCGUAUGCGGUUGGGUAAGUCAGUUGUGAAAUUUACCGGCUAAACCGGUAAACCGCAUUUGAUACUGCUCAACUUGAGACCAGUAGAGGAGAGUGGAAUUCCCAGUGUAACGGUGGAAUGUCGUAGAUAUUGGGAAGAACACCGGUGGCGAAGGCGGCUCUCUGGACUGGUUCAGACGAUGAGGCGAGAAAGCUAGGUGAGCGAACAGGAUGAGAUACCCAAGCAGUCCUAGCUGUCAUCGAUGUCUGCUAGGUGAAGGAUGUUUACAUGCAGUCAGUGCUGCAGUGAACGCAUUAAGCACACAGCAUGAAGAUUACGGCCGCAAGGCUGAAACUCAAAGGAAUUGACGGGGGCCAGCACAAGCGGUGGAGCAUGUGGUUUAAUUCGAAGCAACGAGAAGAACCUUACCCGGACUUCAUAUAUAGGUGAUUGGCCCGGAAACAGGUCUUCUGUUAGGAGCGCCUAUUCAGGUGGCGCAUGGCUGUCGUCAGCUUGUUUCUUGAGAUGUUGGGUUAAGUCCCGCAACGAGUGCAACCCUUGCCCCUUGUUGCCAUCAGGUAAUGCUGGGGACUAUAGGGGGACUGCCGGCGAUAAGCCGGAGGAAGGUGGGGAUGACGUCAAGUCAUCAUGGCCCUUACGUCGGGGGUUACACACGUGGUACAAUGGCAGGUACAAAGGGAAGCCAAGCCGGGAGGUGGAGCAAAUCCCAAAAAGCCUGUCUAAGUUCGGAUUGAAGUCUGCAACUAGUCUUCAAGAAGUUGGAAUGAAUAGUAAUUGUGGAUCAGCAACGCCUCGGUGAAUACGUUCCCGGGCCUUUUACACACCGCCCGUCACCCCAUGGAAGAUGAGGGUACCCGAAGUCGCCGACCCAACCCGCAAGGG
This 1376-nucleotide ribosomal RNA is filed under the name uncultured organism. RNAcentral describes it as "16S ribosomal RNA". It matches the Rfam family "Bacterial small subunit ribosomal RNA", at positions 95 to 1447 of the family's 1533-position model. The record is from RNAcentral.